UACGUAGGGCGCAAGCGUUGUCCGGAAUUAUUGGGCGUAAAGAGCUCGUAGGCGGCUUGUCACGUCGGAUGUGAAAGCCCGGGGCUUAACCCCGGGUCUGCAUUCGAUACGGGCAGGCUAGAGUGUGGUAGGGGAGAUCGGAAUUCCUGGUGUAGCGGUGAAAUGCGCAGAUAUCAGGAGGAACACCGGUGGCGAAGGCGGUCUGCUGGGCCAAGACUGACGCUGAGGCGCGACAGCGUGGGGAGCAAACAGG
This 253-nucleotide ribosomal RNA is filed under the name uncultured bacterium. RNAcentral describes it as "partial 16S ribosomal RNA". It matches the Rfam family "Bacterial small subunit ribosomal RNA", at positions 524 to 776 of the family's 1533-position model. The record is from RNAcentral.